GAGGCUAUAGCCCAAUGGCAGAGCACAUGCCUAGCAUGCAUGAGGUCCUGGGUUCAAUCCCUAGUACCUCCA
RNAcentral lists this transfer RNA (72 nucleotides) under Camelus bactrianus (Bactrian camel). It matches the Rfam family "tRNA". Rfam says of the family: Transfer RNA (tRNA) molecules are approximately 80 nucleotides in length. Their secondary structure includes four short double-helical elements and three loops (D, anti-codon, and T loops). Further hydrogen bonds mediate the characteristic L-shaped molecular structure. tRNAs have two regions of fundamental functional importance: the anti-codon, which is responsible for specific mRNA codon recognition, and the 3' end, to which the tRNAs corresponding amino acid is attached (by aminoacyl-tRNA synthetases). tRNAs cope with the degeneracy of the genetic code in two manners: having more than one tRNA (with a specific anti-codon) for a particular amino acid; and 'wobble' base-pairing, i.e. permitting non-standard base-pairing at the 3rd anti-codon position. RNAcentral also lists the same sequence under 2 other names. The record is from Rfam by way of RNAcentral. Lineage: Eukaryota; Metazoa; Chordata; Mammalia; Artiodactyla; Camelidae.